UAGGGAAUAUUAGAAAGGGACGAAAGUCUGAUCUAGCAACACCGCGUGUGCGAAGAAGGCCUUCGGGUCGUAAAGCACUUUUUGGAAGGAAUAGGAAGGAAUAUACUUCCAGAAUAAGUCUCGGCUAACUACGUGCCAGCAGCCGCGGUAACACGUAGGAGGCAAACGUUAUCCGGAUUUACUGGGCGUAAAGCGCGUGUAGGUGGUAAUGUAAGUAGGGCGUGAAAGCUCCUGGCUCAACUGGGAGAGGCCGUUCUAAACUACAGAACUAGAGGAAGAUAGAGGGAGGUGUAAUUCCAGGUGUAGCGGUGGAAUGCGCAGAUAUCUGGAGGAACACCGGUGGCGAAGGCGGCCGCCUGGACAAUUACUGACACUCAGACGCGAAAGCUAGGGUAGCAAACGG
RNAcentral lists this ribosomal RNA (403 nucleotides) under uncultured bacterium. Its description in RNAcentral is "bacterial SSU rRNA". It matches the Rfam family "Bacterial small subunit ribosomal RNA", at positions 355 to 775 of the family's 1533-position model. The record is from RNAcentral.